GAACUUUCCUGGCAGCUUGGAGAAGUUGCAGGAGAAAAUUCAUAACUUGUUGUAGGAGCACCUGAAUCUUAAACAAUUUGUGGCUCGCGGAGCCUUGACAUAUCCAAAAAUCACGAUCACAUAGCUCGUAGAUUUGUUCACGCAAUCUCUUCGAAUCAGGUUCUUAAUUCGAAUUCGCAAAUGGUUUCAGAUUCGCGUGUUGUCACGAGAAUAUUCAUAACUUUUUGAAGGAUACUGAAAUCACGAACGAUUUGCGGCGCUGGAAAGUAGACUCGUGGAGCUUCGGCAUACCUAAAAAUCACGACCGAGAAGCUAAUAGAUUUAUCGAGGUAAUAUUCUAAAAUUUAGAGUUAAGAUUCUGCCAUAUUGCGUCUUUAAAUUUCACCUGUAAAAAUUUCUUGCCUAAAAUAAUGUCGGCUAGGUCCCUAUAUUGUUAUAGCUGUAGAAAAGUAUCCCGAAAUUUGAAAGAUAAAAUUUUCCAGAAAUUGGGCGUUAUACGACGUACUAUGUGAUCGCAUGACUAGUAUGCAGACUGCAUAAUGGUCGCAUACCUGGGCAGGCCACUACCCAAUUGGAGGACAACUAUGCGGUCCAGAAUACUAUUGAAUUUUGGUUAUGCUAACUACAUAGUUAUCGCAUUUUUUCCCAUUGACUUUUGGUGAGGGAGGUUAUGCGACUCACUAUGCGAUCGCAUAACGUGUAUGCGGACCGCAUAGUGGUCGCAUACCUGCACAGUGUGUUUUAAUUAUGGCCUAUAUUUUAGGGCCAUUCUGCGACCAGUCUGCGGACCGCAUGUUAGGAAUGCGAUUGCAUUCCUGGCCGCAUUCUACGUCAACGCUCCUAUUUUUUUAAUUUUUCAAUCUGACCCCUUCUUCAAUAAAAUACCACAACCCUUCAUUUUAUCAAUUUAUUUGAACAAAACUAGAGAGAGGGAAAUGAGGAUUCUUGAGAGAGAAAGUCUCAUCUCUAACAAGUUGAUUUUCAAAGUCACCAAGGCCGGAAAAUUUCGAGUAAUUAUCUUUAUCUUCGUUCUUGCAGGUAAAAUCCCCAACCAUUUUUCAUUGGUUUUCAGAUUUAAACAAAAAAGUAAUUUUCAUGAAUUGAGUCUUAAAAAUAUAAGUUGAACCAUACAUGCAUGUUCUUUAAUACCUAAAUCUAGUAAAAGGAAUUGGGUAGGAGUAAAGAUAUGCAAAAAGGAGCGGUUGAUAACCUAAGUAAGUUCGAGUUGUAUUUGUGAACUUCAAUUCUAAGAUAUAUGUGUUAACUUGUGAACUAGAUUGAUGGCACUAGGCAGUUUGGUGAAUUAAAGUAGGAUUUAAAAAGGAAAUUCGACUCUAGGUAUGUAUGGCUAACUUUAACUUAUGUAAUGUCACCUUGUUUGAUGUACGAGUCAUUGGUAUGUGUUACUUAUGUGGACUAUUUGUAAAUCUUGGUUGUUUCACGGGUUUUAAGGCAAGAUGGUCUAUUUCAUGAAUUCUUAUGAUUAAUAUACCUUGAACAUUAUUGGUUAAACAUCCCAACAUGAUGGUGUAAACAAAUGGUAACAAACCAAGUGUGAGUGUUCAUGUGUUCAUGUGGUAAGGGCUGUGUAAUAAAUGAUGGAAAGAAGUCGUAAUUGAUGUUAAUGUAAACUCUUUGUGAAUUAUUAUUGUUGUUGUGAGAUGAUAUUCUGGAUGGCCUAAAGCCAUGUGAUUGAACUGUGAACUAUUGUUGUUGUGGAAGAUGAUUAUCCGAUGGGAUUGGGUUGCACGCCGCAACACAAAAUUAUAAGGUAUGGGUUGCGAUGAUAAGGGUGGCUGAAGUAAUAAGGGUAGCCGAGGUAAUAAGGGUGGAAAAGUGAUCAUAAUCACUAUUGAAAUGAAAAUAUGUGAAACUCUUGAGUAUGAAAUGAUGUUGAAAAGGGAAAGAAGAGAUUGUGAAACUUGUUCGGCGUUGGUUGAUCCUUUCAUGUGCAUUGAUUGUUGAUUCUAUUACUGUUUGUUACCUGUGUAUUGCUUGAUCUUACUUGGAGUAAACUUUGUUCGUACAUACCAGUACAAUUCAAAUGAACGGACGUCCCUUUUGCCGGGGGCGCUACAUUUUUGUUAUAAUUGUAGGUGGUUCAAUAGCAGGUACUCCAGUCCACCGAUAAUAGUACCUCCUCCACUUUUCGUCAGAUGUAUUAGUGAGCCCCUUUCCUAUUGGGGCCCUGCGUAUCUCAUACCGCUUUUCUUCUUGGAGUCUUAUUUUGGUAUUGUGUAAGGAAUAGUUGAAGCCUUUUUAUCGGCAAGUAUUGUAAAACUCUUUUGUAUCCCUAGAGGCUCCGUAUACAGGU
RNAcentral lists this long non-coding RNA (2314 nucleotides) under Nicotiana benthamiana. RNAcentral describes it as "long non-coding RNA (NBEN_LNC037563)". The record is from RNAcentral. Lineage: Eukaryota; Viridiplantae; Streptophyta; Magnoliopsida; Solanales; Solanaceae.